AUGGGGCGCAGCAGGCGAGAAAACUUUGCAAUGUGCGAAAGCACGACAAGGUUAGUCCGAGUGAUUUCUGCUAAAGAGAUCUUUUGCUAGUUAUAAAACCACUAGUGAAUAAGGGGUGGGCAAGUUCCGGUGUCAGCCGCCGCGGUAAAACCAGCACCUCAAGUGGUCAGGAUGAUUAUUGGGCCUAAAGCAUCCGUAGCCGGCUCUGUAAGUUUUCGGUUAAAUCCAUGUGCUCAACGCAUGGGCUGCCGAAAAUACUGCAGAGAUAGGGAGUGGGAGAGGUAGACGGUACUCGGUAGGAAGGGGUAAAAUCCUUUGAUCUAUCGAUGACCACCUGUGGCGAAGGCGGUCUACCAGAACACGUUCGACGGUGAGGGAUGAAAGCUGGGGGAGCAAACCGGAUUAGAUACCCGGGUAGUCCCAGCUGUAAACGAUGCAGACUCGAUGAUGCAUUGGCAUAUAGCCAGUGCAGUGUCGCAGGGAAGCCGUUAAGUCUGCCGCCUGGGAAGUACGUACGCAAGUAUGAAACUUAAAGGAAUUGGCGGGGGAGCAC
This 553-nucleotide ribosomal RNA is filed under the name uncultured Nitrososphaerota archaeon. RNAcentral's name for it is "bacterial SSU rRNA". It matches the Rfam family "Archaeal small subunit ribosomal RNA", at positions 325 to 879 of the family's 1478-position model. The record is from RNAcentral. Lineage: Archaea; Thermoproteati; Nitrososphaerota.